Molecule: long non-coding RNA, 202 nt
Filed under: Elaeis guineensis (African oil palm)
Lineage: Eukaryota; Viridiplantae; Streptophyta; Magnoliopsida; Arecales; Arecaceae
Description: long non-coding RNA (EGUI_LNC055062)
Source: RNAcentral
CUCACUACACUAUCAUGUGUCCUCCAACUAACCAUCCUGAUGCCUUUGAUCAUACAGUUCGAUCCAUCGAUAGAUAAACAGUGCCCUCAUUACUCUCCAAGGAGUCAAACUGCUCCUCUCUAUAACAUAUAUGAUAGGUGCAUGCAGAAUCUAAAAUUCACUAUUGGAAAAAAAUAGAUACCUCAUCAGAUAUCUCUAGGAC